RNAcentral lists this ribosomal RNA (819 nucleotides) under uncultured Pseudomonadota bacterium. Its description in RNAcentral is "bacterial SSU rRNA". It matches the Rfam family "Bacterial small subunit ribosomal RNA", at positions 70 to 866 of the family's 1533-position model. Lineage: Bacteria; Pseudomonadati; Pseudomonadota. The record is from RNAcentral.
AAAGUUUCCUUCGGGGAACAAGUAGAGUGGCGCACGGGUGAGUAACACGUAGGUAAUCUACCUUUGGAUGGGGAAUAACAAUCGGAAACGAUUGCUAAUACCGCAUAAUGCAGCGGCACCUAAUGGUGACAGUUGUUAAAGCGGGGGAUCGAAAGACCUCGCGUCUGAAGAGGAGCCUGCGGCGGAUUAGCUAGUUGGUAAGGUAAUGGCUUACCAAGGCUACGAUCCGUAACCGGCCUGAGAGGGCGGUCGGUCACACUGACACUGACAUACGGGUCAGACUCCUACGGGAGGCAGCAGUCGGGAAUUUUGGGCAAUGGGCGAAAGCCUGACCCAGCAACGCCGCGUGAAGGAUGAAAUCCCUCGGGAUGUAAACUUCGCAAGAACAGGAAGAAUAAGCGAGAGUUAAUAUCUCUCGUGAUGACGGUACUGUUUGUAAGCUCCGGCUAACUCCGUGCCAGCAGCCGCGGUAAUACGGGGGGAGCAAGCGUUGUUCGGAUUUACUGGGCGUAAAGGGCGCGUAGGCGGUCAGCACAAGUCAGUUGUGAAAUCUCCGAGCUUAACUCGGAAAGGUCAACUGAUACUGUGCGACUAGAGUGCGGAAGGGGCAACUGGAAUUCUUGGUGUAGCGGUGAAAUGCGUAGAUAUCAAGAGGAACACCUGCGGCGAAGGCGGGUUGCUGGGCCGACACUGACGCUGAUGCGCGAAAGCCAGGGGAGCGAACGGGAUUAGAUACCCCGGUAGUCCUGGCCUUAAACGAUGAAUGCUUGGUGUCUGGGGUUAUAAAGUCCCCGGGUGCCGUCGCUAACGCUUUAAGCA